RNAcentral lists this ribosomal RNA (481 nucleotides) under uncultured bacterium. Its description in RNAcentral is "partial 16S ribosomal RNA". It matches the Rfam family "Bacterial small subunit ribosomal RNA", at positions 28 to 507 of the family's 1533-position model. The record is from RNAcentral.
GACGAACGUUGGCGGCGUGCUUAAUACAUGCAAGUCAACUGAAGCAGUGGUAGCAAUAUCGCUGUGGAGGUGGCGCACGGGUGAGUAACACGUAGGUAAUCUGCCUUCAGGUCUGGCAUAACUCCGGGAAACCGGGGCUAAUAGCAGAUGAUGCAGCGGCUCGACAUCGAGACAGUUGUUAAAGCUAUGGCGCCUGAAGAUGAGCCUGCGUCUGAUUAGCUAGUUGGCGGGGUAACGGCCCACCAAGGCAACGAUCAGUAGCUGGUCUGAGGGGAUGAUCAGCCACACUGGAACUGAGACACGGUCCAGACUCCUACGGGAGGCAGCAGUAAGGAAUAUUGCUCAAUGGGAGAAAUCCUGAAGCAGCAACGCCGCGUGAGGGACGAAGGGCUUUUGCUUGUAAACCUCUGUAGUGAGAGAAAAAAAUCCCAAUCUUUGGGACAUGAUGGUAGCUCAAAAGUAAGCCCCGGCUAACUACGUG